RNAcentral lists this ribosomal RNA (253 nucleotides) under uncultured bacterium. RNAcentral's name for it is "partial 16S ribosomal RNA". It matches the Rfam family "Bacterial small subunit ribosomal RNA", at positions 524 to 776 of the family's 1533-position model. The record is from RNAcentral.
UACGGAGGGUGCAAGCGUUAUCCGGAUUCACUGGGUUUAAAGGGAGCGUAGGCGGAUAGGUAAGUCAGUGGUGAAAUCCUGCAGCUUAACUGCAGAACUGCCGUUGAUACUAUCUAUCUUGAAUGUCGUUGAGGUUUGCGGAAUAGGUCAUGUAGCGGUGAAAUGCAUAGAUAUGACCUGGAACACCUAUUGCGAAGGCAGCAGGCUAAACGAAUAUUGACGCCGAGGCUCGAAAGCGUGGGGAUCAAACAGG